AUUCACCGAAAGAAGCUUAGUGGCGAACGGGUGAGUAACACGUAGGCAACCUGCCCAAAAGAGGGGGAUAACACUUGGAAACAGGUGCUAAUACCGCAUAACCAUGAACACCGCAUGAUGUUCAUGUAAAAGACGGCUUUUGCUGUCACUUUUGGAUGGGCCUGCGGCGUAUUAACUUGUUGGUGGGGUAACGGCCUACCAAGGUGAUGAUACGUAGCCGAACUGAGAGGUUGAUCGGCCACAUUGGGACUGAGACACGGCCCAAACUCCUACGGGAGGCAGCAGUAGGGAAUCUUCCACAAUGGACGAAAGUCUGAUGGAGCAACGCCGCGUGAAUGAAGAAGGCCUUCGGGUCGUAAAAUUCUGUUGUCAGAGAAGAACGUGCGUGAGAGUAACUGUUCACGUAUUGACGGUAUCUGACCAGAAAGCCACGGCUAACUACGUGCCAGCAGCCGCGGUAAUACGUAGGUGGCGAGCGUUGUCCGGAUUUAUUGGGCGUAAAGGGAACGCAGGCGGUCUUUUAAGUCUGAUGUGAAAGCCUUCGGCUUAACCGAAGUAGUGCAUUGGAAACUGGAAGACUUGAGUGCAGAAGAGGAGAGUGGAACUCCAUGUGUAGCGGUGAAAUGCGUAGAUAUAUGGAAGAACACCAGUGGCGAAAGCGGCUCUCUGGUCUGUAACUGACGCUGAGGUUCGAAAGCGUGGGUAGCAAACAGGAUUAGAUACCCUGGUAGUCCACGCCGUAAACGAUGAGUGCUAAGUGUUGGAGGGUUUCCGCCCUUCAGUGCUGCAGCUAACGCAUUAAGCACUCCGCCUGGGGAGUACGGUCGCAAGACUGAAACUCAAAGGAAUUGACGGGGGCCCGCACAAGCGGUGGAGCAUGUGGUUUAAUUCGAAGCAACGCGAAGAACCUUACCAGGUCUUGACAUCUUCUGACAAUUCCAGAGAUGGAACGUUCCCUUCGGGGACAGAAUGACAGGUGGUGCAUGGUUGUCGUCAGCUCGUGUCCUGAAAUGUUUGGGUUAAGUCCCGCAACGAGCGCAACCCUUAUUGUCAGUUGCCAUCAUUAAAUUGGGCACUCUGGCGAGACUGCCGGUGACAAACCGGAGGAAAGGGGGG
Molecule: ribosomal RNA, 1116 nt
Filed under: synthetic construct
Description: bacterial SSU rRNA
Rfam family: Bacterial small subunit ribosomal RNA
Source: RNAcentral